This 301-nucleotide ribosomal RNA is filed under the name uncultured bacterium. Its description in RNAcentral is "partial 16S ribosomal RNA". It matches the Rfam family "Bacterial small subunit ribosomal RNA", at positions 509 to 809 of the family's 1533-position model. The record is from RNAcentral.
CAGUCGCCACGGGAAUACAGAGGGUGCGAGCGUUAAUCGGAUUUACUGGGCGUAAAGCGUGCGUAGGCGGCUUUUUAAGUCGGAUGUGAAAUCCCUGAGCUUAACUUAGGAAUUGCAUUCGAUACUGGGAAGCUAGAGUAUGGGAGAGGAUGGUAGAAUUCCAGGUGUAGCGGUGAAAUGCGUAGAGAUCUGGAGGAAUACCGAUGGCGAAGGCAGCCAUCUGGCCUAAUACUGACGCUGAGGUACGAAAGCAUGGGGAGCAAACAGGAUUAGAUACCCCGGUAGUCCCUGUCCUUAUACA